UUUAACUGAAGAGUUUGAUCAUGGCUCAGAUUGAACGCUGGCGGCAGGCUUAACACAUGCAAGUCGAGCGGAGAGAGGUAGCUUGCUACUGAUCUUAGCGGCGGACGGGUGAGUAAUGCUUAGGAAUCUGCCUAUUAGUGGGGGACAACAUUUCGAAAGGAAUGCUAAUACCGCAUACGUCCUACGGGAGAAAGCAGGGGAUCUUCGGACCUUGCGCUAAUAGAUGAGCCUAAGUCGGAUUAGCUAGUUGGUGGGGUAAAGGCCUACCAAGGCGACGAUCUGUAGCGGGUCUGAGAGGAUGAUCCGCCACACUGGGACUGAGACACGGCCCAGACUCCUACGGGAGGCAGCAGUGGGGAAUAUUGGACAAUGGGCGCAAGCCUGAUCCAGCCAUGCCGCGUGUGUGAAGAAGGCCUUAUGGUUGUAAAGCACUUUAAGCGAGGAGGAGGCUACUUUAGAUAAUACCUAGAGAUAGUGGACGUUACUCGCAGAAUAAGCACCGGCUAACUCUGUGCCAGCAGCCGCGGUAAUACAGAGGGUGCAAGCGUUAAUCGGAUUUACUGGGCGUAAAGCGCGCGUAGGCGGCUAAUUAAGUCAAAUGUGAAAUCCCCGAGCUUAACUUGGGAAUUGCAUUCGAUACUGGUUAGCUAGAGUGUGGGAGAGGAUGGUAGAAUUCCAGGUGUAGCGGUGAAAUGCGUAGAGAUCUGGAGGAAUACCGAUGGCGAAGGCAGCCAUCUGGCCUAACACUGACGCUGAGGUGCGAAAGCAUGGGGAGCAAACAGGAUUAGAUACCCUGGUAGUCCAUGCCGUAAACGAUGUCUACUAGCCGUUGGGGCCUUUGAGGCUUUAGUGGCGCAGCUAACGCGAUAAGUAGACCGCCUGGGGAGUACGGUCGCAAGACUAAAACUCAAAUGAAUUGACGGGGGCCCGCACAAGCGGUGGAGCAUGUGGUUUAAUUCGAUGCAACGCGAAGAACCUUACCUGGCCUUGACAUAGUAAGAACUUUCCAGAGAUGGAUUGGUGCCUUCGGGAACUUACAUACAGGUGCUGCAUGGCUGUCGUCAGCUCGUGUCGUGAGAUGUUGGGUUAAGUCCCGCAACGAGCGCAACCCUUUUCCUUAUUUGCCAGCGAGUAAUGUCGGGAACUUUAAGGAUACUGCCAGUGACAAACUGGAGGAAGGCGGGGACGACGUCAAGUCAUCAUGGCCCUUACGGCCAGGGCUACACACGUGCUACAAUGGUCGGUACAAAGGGUUGCUACCUAGCGAUAGGAUGCUAAUCUCAAAAAGCCGAUCGUAGUCCGGAUUGGAGUCUGCAACUCGACUCCAUGAAGUCGGAAUCGCUAGUAAUCGCGGAUCAGAAUGCCGCGGUGAAUACGUUCCCGGGCCUUGUACACACCGCCCGUCACACCAUGGGAGUUUGUUGCACCAGAAGUAGCUAGCCUAACUGCAAGAGGGCGGUUACCACGGUGUGGCCGAUGACUGGGGUGAAGUCGUAACAAGGUAGCCGUAGGGGAACCUGCGGCUGGAUCACCUCCUUAA
Molecule: ribosomal RNA, 1540 nt
Filed under: Acinetobacter pittii
Lineage: Bacteria; Pseudomonadati; Pseudomonadota; Gammaproteobacteria; Moraxellales; Moraxellaceae
Description: bacterial SSU rRNA
Rfam family: Bacterial small subunit ribosomal RNA
Source: RNAcentral